GGGCUGGGGCUCAGUGGCAGGGGGCUUGCCUAGCAUGUAUGAGGCACUGGGUUCAAUCCUCAGCACCACA
RNAcentral lists this transfer RNA (70 nucleotides) under Marmota monax (woodchuck). Its description in RNAcentral is "tRNA.Ala". The record is from RNAcentral. Lineage: Eukaryota; Metazoa; Chordata; Mammalia; Rodentia; Sciuridae.